Molecule: ribosomal RNA, 468 nt
Filed under: uncultured bacterium
Lineage: Bacteria
Description: partial 16S ribosomal RNA
Rfam family: Bacterial small subunit ribosomal RNA
Source: RNAcentral
GACGAACGCUGGCGGCGUGCUUAACACAUGCAAGUCGAACGGAAAGGCCCUGCUUUUGUGGGGUGCUCGAGUGGCGAACGGGUGAGUAACACGGGAGUAACCUGCCCUUGACUUUGGGAUAACUUCAGGAAACUGGGGCUAAUACCGGAUAGGAGCUCCUGCUGCAUGGUGGGGGUUGGAAAGUUUCGGCGGUUGGGGAUGGACUCGCGGCUUAUCAGCUUGUUGGUGGGGUAGUGGCUUACCAAGGCUUUGACGGGUAGCCGGCCUGAGAGGGUGACCGGCCACAUUGGGACUGAGAUACGGCCCAGACUACUACGGGAGGCAGCAGUGGGGAAUAUUGCACAAUGGGCGGAAGCCUGAUGCAGCAACGCCGCGUGCGGGAUGACGGCCUUCGGGUUGUAAACCGCUUUCGCCUGUGACGAAGCGUGAGUGACGGUAAUGGGUAAAGAAGCACCGGCUAACUACGUG